Triticum aestivum (bread wheat) is the source of this 1460-nucleotide long non-coding RNA. RefSeq lists it as uncharacterized. NCBI's taxonomy places the organism in Eukaryota, Viridiplantae, Streptophyta, Magnoliopsida, Poales, Poaceae. The record is from RefSeq and is a predicted model, not a curated record. The transcript has 3 exons.
CUCACGCACAGACCCCACCACCUCCUUCUUCCACGUCCGCUCGGUCUCCCUCCCCAUCAUGACAGUACCUCAACGACCAAAACAAAUCCAUGAUCCGCGCAAUCCUGAACCCCCUCGACCGAAUCCGUUGAAACAGAUCGAAUCCCCUGUCUCCCCUCGAUUGAUUCCCAUCCUCACCUCGCGGAACUGAGCUCCUCGACUCGCUGGAUCUCCGCUGCACGAAGCUCCUCCGACGACGAACUGCAGAGCGGCCAGAACCACUGCUUCGAGCGCCCCACAUCCUCCCGAAGUUCGCCGGCAACUGCCAUCGUUCCAGCCGCACCGCCUUGUCGCCAAAGGUCGCCCACGUUGUAACCGAGGAGGUUUUCGAGUUGGCCAUGAAGCCCCGCACGCCGUCCCAUGCUUCCCGAGCUUCGGGAGCCACCUUUGUGAGCUCUUGAACGGAGCCGAGCCGCCCCGCCACCGCGCCAUGGUCACCGGAGUGCAUUCCGAUUUCUCGGAGCGUGACGAGUAGAGUUAUCAGGAUGAUGAGUGCGACGAUCUUCAUCAAAUAUACUAGGCAAGUUACACCUUGGUCAUCCUUCAUCCUAUUAUUUUUCAUGCAUGUAGUUCUAUAUCACAAUACCAUAUUGUGCAUGUGUAGGAAUAUUAUGGCAGUAUGCUAUUGCUAUUGAGAUGUAGUUAGUAUGGCCUUAUUGUAGAUCGUGAUAGUGUAUGCUUGCUAUGCUAGGUAAACGGGUAUUGGUUCGUGCAUGCAUUGAGAAUAUGUGAGGACUAUAUAUAAUAUAACUUGAGUAAAAACAUAAUAUAUAAUUCACCUCUGGGCGGAAGUGGUAUUGUUUGGUGUUGAGGGAAGGCAUCAUGGGGUCUUGCACUUUUUCCAAGGCCAUGCGCCCAUGAGAGUGCACCCUAAGUGGAAAGCCACUCAGGUUCCAUGUGCGACCACUGGCUAUAUGGGCUCUGGCUUAGUUGACCAGUUGUUGGAACCCUUGCCCAGACAGUGUCAACAGAUGUAGCAUAUAUAUAGGUGGGAUGUGGGCGUUAGGUGUUAAGGGAACCUCUUCUGAAAGACUUCGUCUCAAUCUUCGGAUUGGUUCCAGUGGUUAAAGCGUAAAAAACUCUGCAGAGUAUUAAAACUAAUCAUGAUUAACCGUGUCCCCGAUUAUGGACAAAUUUGAGCAGCUAGACCAUGAUAGUUGUUGAAUGAUCUUAACGGAUGAUAUCUUAAUAAAAAUUGAGUGGGAAAUUUAGUAAUGGGGAUAGGUUGGUAUUGGAUUGCCCAACUCAACCAUAUGUAUUUAAUUGUAGCAAGACGAAAAUAAAAUUUAACGAUUACAUUAUGUAGUUAUGUCACAGCCCUAGAAUUUGCUUGUCAUUAGUUGCAUUAAAGCAUCCAUGCAUCAUGUUAAUUCUCAAUUAAAGUUGAAAUGGGGAUGACAAACCCUAGCACCAAAUUAAAU